GUGGAAGCAGCCCACGUGUCUGUCCACAGGUGAACGAAUAAACAAAGGUGGCACAGAGCCACGAUCGAGUAUCAUUCAGCCUUAAACAUGAAGGAAAUUCGGCCUGGCGCGGGGGCUCACGCCUGUCAUCCCAGCACUUUGGGAGGCCGAGGCGGGCGGGCCACGAGGUCAGGAGUUCGAGACCAGCCUGGCCAACAUGGUGAAACCCUGUCUCUACUAAAAAUACAAAAAUUAGCCAGGCG
This 242-nucleotide long non-coding RNA is filed under the name Homo sapiens (human). Its description in RNAcentral is "HSALNT0331411". Lineage: Eukaryota; Metazoa; Chordata; Mammalia; Primates; Hominidae. The record is from RNAcentral.